This is a long non-coding RNA of Gallus gallus (chicken), 2580 nucleotides long. The record is from Ensembl. NCBI's taxonomy places the organism in Eukaryota, Metazoa, Chordata, Aves, Galliformes, Phasianidae.
CUGGGAGUGUCUAUCUAGCAUUGUCCAGGAGUUCAUAUGGCUUGGGGUAAGCACCAGAGCUGAGAGUUCUGAAGACUUGAUCAGGUCUGGAGCCCCAGCUCUGGGUGGAGGGAUGGGGAGGCUCAGCGGGCUCCAAAGAAGCUUGCUGGCUCAGGAGGCAUGGCCUCUGCUCAGCAGCUGAGGCAGAGCAGCUGGUAACUGAUGGGAGAAGUGGCUCUAGCCCUCAAGACUGCUGUACAUUUUAACUCAAACCACCCAGAUCAUCAGAGGAUUGCUUGGAUUAUGAGCUCACAAAAACAUGUUGCUUCUGAAUGACUGGAGUGCCUUUCUCUCCAGCAUUUGUGGCUGCAAGUAAUGGAAAGGAGAAUUCUUUUUCUCCAUCAGCAACCAAACCCAGAUCUGUGAUGAUAUGCCUCAAUACUGAAUGUUGUACCCAAUGACUGUUUCCUAUAAGCAAGCAAAAGAGAUGGUGGAUUCAGGACUUCCCUCUUCAGACAAAUUCCCCAAAAUCGCUAGGAUGAAGUUAAACUUCCUCUCGGGUUUCCUCUGUGUUGUACUGAACUGCAACUUGGCUGCAGCUACCUGGAUAACUUAAAGAUGAUCUAAGGCCUAUCUUCAGUGAGCAAGUGGAGAUACCUCCUGGGGAGGACAGUCCUGCUGGAACACCUGAAACCUUGUGGGUUGAAAAGACUGUUUGAGAUGUGCUCUAAACAAGGGCAGCUGUAGGAAUAGGGUAUGAACCACAAGAAGAAAUCGGUGGUAUGUUCCCUUUGCUAUUUAGAGAAAAAUCCAGGUUUUGUAUUGUGUCAGAUGGCAGGAUGUAACCCCAUUGUUCCUCUUAUUUCAUUAACUACUUCCCUGGCCCAACUUUGUUUUCAUUUGUGUCCUGCAAUCAUUGCAGCUGCAGACUAGUGUUAACUGAUAUGGUUGUAAGCAUGGCACUCUGGACUCCGUGCACCAAUGGAUGGACUUCUGCUAUCUUUUGAAGCCUACUUAUGGCCUUCACUGCAGAACUCCCUGGGCAGGUUAUUUUUUGCUCAGUCUGAGGUUAAAGGGGACCAUCAGGUUGGCUAAUUACAGAGAUAAUGCCUUACAAGCAAAAGCCUGCCCUUGUCCUGGGUAGAUCAAUCAGCUGAAUGUAGACAUGAGAGCCAGGCAGAGCAGCUUCCACCACUAUGUGCAGCAGCAACUACUGCUUCAGGGUACCUUCACCCCUAAAUGGAGAGUACAGGAUGCUUUCACCCAGGCCUGUCCGAGGCUGGCUGAUGUUUGAGGUUUGACCUGUGGCAGAGUUAUGAUUUGUCAGCUGUGGAAAUGUGAGCCCUUUUUGAGAACUUGGCUACCAGUGGAACAAGCUUCACAAGGGUCUGCUGUCUUCAGGUACAUCUGAAUUGAACCAAUCAUGCAGAGCUUUCCUGAUUUUGAUUUCUACUGGUAUGGAAGAUCCCACAUGUCAGAGUAAUGAACCAGGAAUUCAAAUCUGGUUGGAAUGCCCUAAAUGUUUUUUGAAGGAGGGGCUUGUAUGCAAGUGUGGGUCUGCAUCCCCACUCUAUUUCUGCUCAAGGAGUGGUCCACAGCUGAGGUUGAUGACACCUUUGCCAUGAUAUUUCUGGUGGGGAGGCAUCCAUGACUGAGGCUACCCAGCUAUCUGUGGGAGGGAGGCAUGCAUUUCUGAGGCAGCCCUGCUACUCUCCCACGACAUGGACUGGAGGAGGGUUCCAUACUUGAGAGCAGCUCCAUAGCCUGGGACAAAUUGCCCAAGCCCAUGUGGAACAGCACCUUCUCUUUGCAACUGCUUGAAGACUGUCUGGCAUCCUUAAUACGUGGCAUGGUGAAUUAGUGAGGAGCAGCAGACAAUAAGGGAGGGUGUAGCUUCUUCACUCUUGUGGUCUUUCUGAAGGCAGCUAGAUGUGCCUUUCCUCAGUGUGGCAGCACAGUUAUCUCUGUAUAGAUGGGUGCGUGUUCUUCCUGGUGCCUGGCAUCAGUCAGUGGAUGAGUAGGCAUGUUGUGGGGUCAUGUAGGCAGAUUCAGGUGUGGGAUGGGUCUCAGCCAGCUGCUCACAACAUUUCUGCAGGAGCUCUGGGGUGGGAAGCCCAGGGUCACAAUUGUUUGUGCUACAGAUGGAGUGAGAGACGCUGCUGCUGAGAAGCCUCAGAUCCUCUGAGAGAAACGUGCUGUGUUUUUUAUCACCCUGUUUGUAAUGCAUCCCAAUGCUUUCUACUCUGUAGUUCUUUCUUUCCAGCAUGCUCCUUUAUAUGACAUUUCUUCUCUCAUGACACCUUCUAAAUGCCCAUGGUGGGAGCAGAAUGAACACAAGGACCAGUUUUAUGUAGACAUGGACAAGUGUGUGCUUGCAAGCUGCACAUCGUUUUCUCACCAGUGAUACAAGAAACUCCUCAGCAGCAGCAAGAGCUUCAGCUGUGCCAGCAGAGUUGCUUGAGUACCCACUGCCCAUGACUGCGUAUGGUAUAUGUUGAAAAGCCAGGCUUGAGCAUGGCUGUGCUUACUGUUGCUCAGCUUCUCACUCCCCCGCAAAGGAUGUGGGCUGUGCCUAAUUUUAGAUCUGGUAAUGAAACACUG